RNAcentral lists this transfer RNA (90 nucleotides) under Candidatus Dadabacteria bacterium. RNAcentral describes it as "tRNA-Ser". It matches the Rfam family "tRNA". Rfam says of the family: Transfer RNA (tRNA) molecules are approximately 80 nucleotides in length. Their secondary structure includes four short double-helical elements and three loops (D, anti-codon, and T loops). The record is from RNAcentral. Lineage: Bacteria; Pseudomonadati; Thermodesulfobacteriota; Candidatus Dadabacteria.
GGAGAGGUGACCGAGUGGCUGAAGGUGCUCGCCUGCUAAGCGAGUGUACGGGAAACCGUACCGAGGGUUCGAAUCCCUUCCUCUCCGCCA